RNAcentral lists this small RNA (2301 nucleotides) under Pan troglodytes (chimpanzee). RNAcentral's name for it is "retained intron". The record is from RNAcentral. Lineage: Eukaryota; Metazoa; Chordata; Mammalia; Primates; Hominidae.
AUUUUUAGUAGAGACGGAGUUUCACUGGCCAGGCUAAUCUCGAACUCCUGACCUCAGGUGAUCUGCCCACCUUGACCUCCCAAAGUGGUGGGAGUACAGGUGUGAGCCAGCACGCCUGGCCCGUUGCUUUUCUUGUUGAUGUUACUAGCACUGUUAGGAGCUGGAGAGGUGUCCUGGGCAGAGUGCUGUGGGUACCUAGGGCGGGACAUGCCUGACUCCCCUCGGGAGCACUCAUGCUUUUUGUUAAUUAGAUAAUUUCUUUUUUUUUUUUGAGAUGGAGUCUAGCUCUGUCUCUAGGUGGAGUUCAGUGGUGCAAUCUCAGCUCACUGCAAUCUCCACCUCCCAGAUUCAAGCAAUUCUCCUGCCUCAGCCUCCCAAGUAGCUGGGACUAUAGGCAUGUGCCGCCACGCCCAGCUAAUUUUUGUAUUUUCAGUAGAAACGGGGUUUCACCUUGUUGGCCAGGAUGGUCUCUAUCUCCUGACCUUGUGAUCCGCCCACCUUGGCCUCCCAAAAUGCUGGGAUUACAGGCAUGAGCCACUGUGCCUGGCCUAAUUAGUUAAUUUCUUACUUGCUUCACAUACACACUGGUAAAAUCUGUUUCCCCUCCUGUAAACUGUAUUUAGCAUAGCCACAGUGACACUUGUUUAAAUGACUUAGUAGGGUGUUUUAGGAGCUUUUCUGUACAGAAGCUUUGAGGGCAUGGUCCUUAGGUUCUCACGGCUGCACUGGCUCAGGGUGUCCGCCCCUGCCAAGGUUGGGUCCCUCUCUUCCCAUGUGCUGCGAGGGUGCUGGCUGCCUGUGAGUUCUUUCCAAAGCUUCCCGGCGGAAGCCUUGGCUGCUGACUCUGCUCGGUCCACAGGAGGCUAACGAGCCGGCAGCAGAGCCUGAUCCUGAGCUACGCCGAGGACGAGACAGAUGUGGAGGGGACGGUGAACGGCGUCACCCUCACCAGCUCUGGUGGCAGCACCAUGGAUAGCUCCGCAGGAAGCAAGGCUAGGCGUGAGGCUGGGGAGGACGAGGAGGGAUUCCUUUCCAAACUUAAGAAAAUGUUUACCUCAUGAUAUCCCAGCCGAGGAAAAAGAUCCACUGGAAACUAGGCCGGGAAGCAGCAGCCCCUCCAAGGGCCAGGGCACCUGGGAGACGGGAGGAUUCCAGAACAGCAGCACUGAGCUCCCACCCGCAGAGCCUCUGGACGGCCUUGGCAACAGCAAAAUCAUGGGACAACACCUCUCUCCACGGAAAGGUCACAGUGGACAGCCCGGGCAGUAGGAUGCAGCCCCAGAGGCUGGUGGCAGUUUCCUGUCCAUUGGUAGGUGACGGCCCCUGGCUCAGGCAGAGGGAGAUGGUUAGACUCUUGCAGGGCUAAAACUCUAAUUUGGAAUUGAAUAUUGUGGAUAUCUUAGUUAAAGGCCAUGCUUACAGCUUAGAAAUGAAGCCUUAAGCUGCAUCAAGUUACGAAGUGAUUAAUUUCCUUCUCAGCAAACCUCUGGGAGGUUCCAGAAUGAGUUCUUCCUGACAGGUUGUCUUCACUGGGAGCGUGGGGCCCCCAGGCUCCACCAGCACCGUCCUCCCCUAAUGGGGGGCCCUGCCGAGGCAUCAGCUGCUCUGCUCAGUUAGUUUUUAUUCCCGGGGUACCAAGCAGCUGCACAGUCGGUGCCUGGGAGGCACGUAGAGGCCCAGAGAGUCCCUGAGGGUUCUGCUCUGACCGUGUGGGUGGUGAUCCUUGUCAGGAUGUACAGUCCUUGCUCCCACCCCAUCCAGGAUGGCCGCCUGUCCCUGACUGUUGAGUCCUGUUGUUGUAAGCCAGGCAUGGAGGGCUCCUGCCCUUCUGCUGAGCCACAGCCCACUGCAGCACUGUGCUGGCCAGACUUCAGCUGCCUUGGGAACUGAAGCCCUGCCACUGUUGCUAGUCAGGGGCUUGGUUCUCCCACUUACACUGUUGACAUCUAUUUUCUGAAGUGUGUUUAAAUUAUUCAGUGCUAAUCAUUGUUUUUUCCUUUGUAAAUGUUGAUUCAGAAAAGGAAAGCACAGGCUAAGCAGUUGAAGGUUCCCCACCAUUCAGUGAGAGCAGAACCCCCAUUCCCCAGCCUCUGCUGGUAGCAUGUCGCAGUUUCCAUGUGUUUCAGGAUCCUCGGGCUGUCGUUAGACAGGUUAAUGAAGAACACUUCUCAACAGUUUCCUUUUUGUUUUCCUUUAUAAUUCACUAAAAUAAAGCAUCUAUUAGUGUCUGAUUUAGGAAUGUAAAAUGAUUCUGUAUUAAUGUAAAUAAGAUUAUCUAUUGCAAAAAGAUAUUUCAAACCU